Molecule: transfer RNA, 73 nt
Filed under: Myxococcales bacterium
Lineage: Bacteria; Pseudomonadati; Myxococcota; Myxococcia; Myxococcales
Description: tRNA-His
Rfam family: tRNA
About the family: Transfer RNA (tRNA) molecules are approximately 80 nucleotides in length. Their secondary structure includes four short double-helical elements and three loops (D, anti-codon, and T loops).
Source: RNAcentral
GUGAGUGUAGCUCAAUCGGCAGAGCACAGGACUGUGGCUCCUGGGGUUGAGGGUUCGAUCCCCUUCACUCACC